This is a small nuclear RNA of Erinaceus europaeus (western European hedgehog), 104 nucleotides long. The record is from Ensembl. NCBI's taxonomy places the organism in Eukaryota, Metazoa, Chordata, Mammalia, Eulipotyphla, Erinaceidae.
GUGCUUGCUUUAGCAUCACAUACAAAAUUGAGAUGAUAUAAGGGAGAUUAGAAUGGCCCCUGCACAAGGAUGAAGCCCAAAUUCAUGAAGUGGUCUGUAUGCCU